Molecule: ribosomal RNA, 402 nt
Filed under: uncultured bacterium
Lineage: Bacteria
Description: bacterial SSU rRNA
Rfam family: Bacterial small subunit ribosomal RNA
Source: RNAcentral
UGGGGAAUAUUGCACAAUGGGGGGAACCCUGAUGCAGCGACGCCGCGUGAGGGAAGAAGGUUUUCGGAUUGUAAACCUCUGUCCUUGGUGACGAUAAUGACGGUAGCCAAGGAGGAAGCCACGGCUAACUACGUGCCAGCAGCCGCGGUAAUACGUAGGUGGCAAGCGUUGUCCGGAAUUACUGGGUGUAAAGGGAGCGUAGGCGGGAAAGCAAGUUGGGAGUGAAAUGUAUGGGCUCAACCCAUAAACUGCUUUCAAAACUGUUUUUCUUGAGUGAAGUAGAGGCAGGCGGAAUUCCUAGUGUAGCGGUGAAAUGCGUAAAUAUUAGGAGGAACACCAGUGGCGAAGGCGGCCUGCUGGGCUUUAACUGACGCUGAGGCUCGAAAGCGUGGGUAGCAAACA